AGUAUGAAUGGCACCACGAAAAUUAAACUGUCUCUUUUUUUUAAUCAGUGAAACUAAUCUUCCUGUGAAAAAGCAGGAAUAACCAUAUAAGACGAGAAGACCCUGUGGAACUUUAAACUUUACUAGUAGUUUUCGGUUGGGGCGACCUUGGAGAACAAUUCACCCUCCAAAUUGACCUAAGCAAAAAGUCACAACUUUACGCAUCAAUAAAUUGACAUCCAUUGACCCAGUAAUCCUGAUCAACGAACCAAGCUACCCCAGGGAUAACAGCGCAAUCUUCUUCUAGAGCCCGUAUCGCCAAGAAGGUUUACGACCUCGAUGUUGGAUCAGGGUACCCAAGGAGUGCAGCCGCCCCUAAAGGUUCGUUUGUUCAACGAUUAA
Molecule: ribosomal RNA, 381 nt
Filed under: Noblella sp. ZSFQ 551
Lineage: Eukaryota; Metazoa; Chordata; Amphibia; Anura; Craugastoridae
Description: partial large subunit ribosomal RNA
Rfam family: Bacterial large subunit ribosomal RNA
Source: RNAcentral